RNAcentral lists this unclassified non-coding RNA (743 nucleotides) under Melitaea cinxia (Glanville fritillary). RNAcentral's name for it is "misc RNA ENSMCXG00005002132.1". Lineage: Eukaryota; Metazoa; Arthropoda; Insecta; Lepidoptera; Nymphalidae. The record is from RNAcentral.
UGUUACAAAAUUUUCAGAUACCGUUACGAAGAUCUUACAUAUAACUUGAUUUCUGGAGUUAUUAUCAUUUUUCGCUCCUUUCUGGUUUUACUUGUAGCUUCAAAUAUCCAUUCCACGUCUCUCGUUGUAGCUCCCUCACUUUAUGAUGUUCCGUCAUCGUCAUUUUGUACCGAGGUUCAAAGAUUUAUUGAGCAAAUCCACGGUACUACGGUCGCAUUGUCAGGUCUGAAAUUUUUCUACGUUACUAAAGAGUUGCUACUUUCAAUCUUUGGAACAAUCGUGACAUACGAAGUAGUUUUGCUGAAUUUUCGCAGAGAAAAGAAAAUUGAAUAAGCUAUCUGCAUAAAAUUAUUUACUUAGCUUUGUUUUAUUGUAUUUAUAAUGAUUGAAAGAUUUCUUACACAUGUCAUGUGUAUGUAGCUUGUGUGUCAAUGUAUGUCAAGUGAUGGUAGCUUGUGUACACACAUUUAGUGUCAGAUUUGCGAUUCAGCCAUAACAUCCUAUUGCUGGGAUUAGUUUCAUUUUUUCUCCAUGUAAGAAAAGAUUCGGAACUUAAUCCACCACGCUGCUCCACGGCGAGUUGCCGAUGUUACAUAUUGGAGCUGUUAAAAUGCACUGUUUUCAAAUUAAAUUCACGUUAAACUUAUGACUUAUAUUUGUCUUAUUAUUAUACUAAGAAGAUUAUCUAUAUAAGUAUACAUGUGUUAAUUCUCUACAAUAAAUGUUUAAACAUUAUUAGACAA